AGUGAACGCUGGCGGUAGGCCUAACACAUGCAAGUCGAACGGCAGCACAGUAAGAGCUUGCUCUUACGGGAGGCGAGUGGCGGACGGGUGAGGAAUACAUCGGAAUCUACUUUUUCGUGGGGGAUAACGUGGGGAAACUUACGCUAAUACCGCAUACGACCUACGGGUGAAAGCAGGGGAUCUUCGGACCUUGCGCGAUUGAAUGAGCCGAUGUCGGAUUAGCUAGUUGGCGGGGUAAAGGCCCACCAAGGCGACGAUCCGUAGCUGGUCUGAGAGGAUGAUCAGCCACACUGGAACUGAGACACGGUCCAGACUCCUACGGGAGGCAGCAGUGGGGAAUAUUGGACAAUGGGCGCAAGCCUGAUCCAGCCAUACCGCGUGGGUGAAGAAGGCCUUCGGGUUGUAAAGCCCUUUUGUUGGGAAAGAAAAGCAGCAGGUUAAUACCCCGCUGUUCUGACGGUACCCAAAGAAUAAGCACCGGCUAACUUCGUG
This 492-nucleotide ribosomal RNA is filed under the name uncultured bacterium. RNAcentral describes it as "partial 16S ribosomal RNA". It matches the Rfam family "Bacterial small subunit ribosomal RNA", at positions 29 to 507 of the family's 1533-position model. The record is from RNAcentral.